GGCGCACGGGUGCGUAACACGUAUACAAUCUACCUUAACAAGGGGGGAUAAGCCUUUCGAAAGAGAGAUUAAUACCCCGUAAUAAAUUGAACGGCAUCGUUUGAUUUUGAAAGCUCCGGCGGUUUGAGAUGAGUAUGCGUCUGAUUAGCUAGUUGGUGAGGUAACGGCUCACCAAGGCGACGAUCAGUAGGGGACCUGAGAGGACUAACCCCCCACACUGGUACUGAGACACGGACCAGACUCCUACGGGAGGCAGCAGUAAGGAAUAUUGGUCAAUGGAGGCAACUCUGAACCAGCCAUGCCGCGUGCAGGAUGACGGCCCUAUGGGUUGUAAACUGCUUUUAUACAAGAGAAAACCCUGGUACGUGUACCAAGUUGAUAGUAUUGUAAGAAUAAGCAUCGGCUAACUUCGUG
RNAcentral lists this ribosomal RNA (414 nucleotides) under uncultured bacterium. Its description in RNAcentral is "bacterial SSU rRNA". It matches the Rfam family "Bacterial small subunit ribosomal RNA", at positions 97 to 507 of the family's 1533-position model. The record is from RNAcentral.